UCCUGAUUUUGAACUCUUGUAGUCCUGUUUUAAUUCCGGAUCAGUUCUGGGUCUGGUUGAAUUGGGGUUUAGUCCUCGUGUCUUGAUGCAGCCCUGACCUUGUUCUGCCUUGCUGCUUAAUUAAAAAACUAGUUUAAGGUGUCCUGCAUAUGUGAUAUCUUUUUUUCCCAAUAUGAAGUCAUUCUUUUUUGAACAAAACUCAAAACAGAGCCAAUUAAUCUUUCAGUCAUUUCUACACCCCCCCCCCCCCCCCCCCCCCAAAAAAAGAAAAAAGAAAAAAAAAUCCACAUGCAUACUACCCUUCAGGGCUAAGCCCCGGGUGUUUCAAAUGUCUGGCUCCGCCUCUGAUGUAGAGUCCCCCUCCUCUGUUCGGUUUCACUUCCCGUAAACAGAAAGUAAACUUUGUGCGUGGGCGUGUUUGGAGCUGCAGGUGUGUCCAGGUGUGGGUUCGUUGGAUCAGCAGAGGAUUUAACGGGACUUUGUGUCGGUUUGAGUUGUUUUUAAAGGAGGAUGAAGACGCUGGUGGUGUUCCUGCUCCUCGUGAACGUUUCCCAGCAUGCCCUGGGUGUGGUGGUGGAGGUGAAUGAGGGGGAAAGAUCUGUCCUGCUGCCCUGUCAGUACUUUGGGUUUAUACCUGAGAAUCCCACAGUGAUGUGGACUCGCAGUGAUCUCCAUCCCAAAUCUGUCCAUGUGAGACAAGACGAAACAGACGAUCUCAGAGGACAAAACCAGCGUUACAGUGGGCGCACAUCAAUGAGACCUGAUGCUCUGGACGCUGGAGACUUCAGCCUCACUCUGACAAAACCAACAAAGACUGACAGCAGCAUCUACACCUGCUCCAUCAGUGAUGGGAGAGAAGAACGGAGACUGAGAGAUAUCCAGCUGCAGGUCAAAGCCUUGCCUACUUUACAGUUCUUGGAACCCAUCAACACCAGUGUUCACUUGAUAGACAUAUCACCACACAUUGACGGGCUGAAAAAUGCGAUGGAAGAGUACAAGAGUACGAUAAAAGAGCUCAGUGGCUGUUCAAAAGCUACUGUCGCCGUGGGAGGGCUUAUUGCGACGUUGAUUGUGAUCGUUCUAGGGUUUAUGUAUAUAUGAUCGCCACUUGGCUUGUAUGUGUUUAUGUCAAGUGUGGAAAUAAAAGAAAAUAUAUCAUUGCUUACAUGGCUUUUAUUAGUGCCACUUUAUUAAAACUUUUAUUAAAUGUGGAGUUGUAAUUAUUUUUAUACAUAAAUUUAAAAUGCGCUCAUAAAGAGUUGGCGCUCAGUCCUCUUAAGGUCCUAAGCUUCGUCUGGUGUGAAUGUCCAGACGAUAUAUUGUGUAAGGUGACUUAGAGCGCAAGAAGGCCAAUGCAAGCACGCUUACAGACACAAAUAAGUUCUAGGUCAGAAGUGAGAGAUACAUUUAGCUUGUAACUGCAUUUGUGCUUGCAUAGCAACUGUUGAUGCAGGACGUGUUAAAGAUAAGCAUGAAAAGAACAAGUCAACGAGAAACAUCUGGAGGGUGAGACGGUUGAAACAAACAGCCAUGUAUGGUAAAAAGGUUGCAGAUAAUGGAAACUUGUCUAACUGUCAUUAACUGUAACUGAUGCAUAUUAUCUGCUUUGCUGACGCAAGAAGGGGCUAAACCCUGACAUAUCAAAACCAUUUUGAAGCUUUUUAGCGGAGAUCUACGCUGAUGAUGCUCCCCAUGCGUGUGUUCAAUAAAAUCAUUGUUUGACUGAACUCAUCUGGACCAGUGUCAAUGGAAAAUUGUACUUCGUAGUCAGUAUAAUCUUUUAAUGAUAUAAGUUUGCAUAUAGUAGAAUACUGCAUGUAAUCAUUUGUGUUUAGAAGUAUAUAGCUGGUGGCAUAUUGAAAGAAUGUCUCAUCCUAGGAGGUCUGUAACAUUCCAGGGUGUUCUGGCAUUCACCCCCACAUCCUACGAGCAUGGGAGAGGUCGUACCUUGUCUUAUUGUUUUACGGUAGGAUUAACGUAGCUAUGUCAGUUUUAGUCUAAGUGCCUUUUUACAUAUAGAUGAACUGUUGGACUUUCCAGACCAGCAGGUUAAGGGAAGUCAUUUAUGGGGUCACACUCUGACACACACACACACACACACACACACACACACACACACACACACACACACACACACACACACACACACACCAAUGUAAGGAACAAACGCUCACUGGAGUUUAUAAAUAAAGACCAGGGCAGUCCUCAGUGCGAGUCUCAGUUCUGGAGGCUGCCCUUGCUAGCAAGAAAUUCUGUGUUUCUCUUCUCUGAUUCUCUACUGAAGAAGUAUUUUAGAAUAUAUCUCUUAACAACCAGUUUUUGUUUGUUUUCAUCCUCAAUAUAAAAGAAUCGGGACACAAGGCACACCUUACCGUUUUUUGUUGUGUGUGUCUUGCAUUGUCUGUACGUAUUACUAUUUACUCCUGUGCAUGUCCCUACCUGUAUAACAUAUAAGCUGUGUCAAUAAAAGAAGUCAACCACAUGA
Molecule: long non-coding RNA, 2485 nt
Organism: Astatotilapia calliptera (eastern happy)
Lineage: Eukaryota; Metazoa; Chordata; Actinopteri; Cichliformes; Cichlidae
Source: Ensembl